This 254-nucleotide ribosomal RNA is filed under the name uncultured bacterium. RNAcentral's name for it is "partial 16S ribosomal RNA". It matches the Rfam family "Bacterial small subunit ribosomal RNA", at positions 524 to 776 of the family's 1533-position model. The record is from RNAcentral.
UACGGAGGGUGCGAGCAUUGUCCGGAAUCAUUGGGCGUAAAGGGCGCGUAGGCGGUCAGCACAAGUCAGUUGUGAAAUCUCCGGGCUUAACUCGGAAAGGUCAACUGAUACUGUGCGACUAGAGUGCAGAAGGGGCAACUGGAAUUCUCGGUGUAGCGGUGAAAUGCGUAGAUAUCGAGAGGAACACCUGCGGCGAAGGCGGGUUGCUGGGCUGACACUGACGCUGAUGCGCGAAAGCCAGGGGAGCGAACGGG